Molecule: small nucleolar RNA, 138 nt
Organism: Tachyglossus aculeatus (Australian echidna)
Lineage: Eukaryota; Metazoa; Chordata; Mammalia; Monotremata; Tachyglossidae
Source: RefSeq, a predicted model, not a curated record
AUCCUCUCGGGAUCGCACCUGGAGAGUAUCCAGUACACUACCAGUCUCAGCUAUGGGAGGAAGAGUCAGGCAAAGGCCUACCCAUUCCAUUCCUAGCUUGGGCAGUGGCUAGCGAGAGGCAGGCAAUCUGCUACAAGU